UACGGGGGGGGCAAGCGUUGUUCGGAAUUACUGGGCGUAAAGGGCUCGUAGGCGGCCAACUAAGUCAGACGUGAAAUCCCUCGGCUUAACCGGGGAACUGCAUCUGAUACUGGAUGGCUUGAGUUCGGGAGAGGGAUGCGGAAUUCCUGGUGUAGCGGUGGAAUGCGCAGAUAUCAGGAGGAACACCAAUAGCGAAGGCAGCUCGCUGGGACGUUACUGACGCUGAGGCGCGAAAGCGUGGGGAGCAAACAGG
RNAcentral lists this ribosomal RNA (253 nucleotides) under uncultured bacterium. Its description in RNAcentral is "partial 16S ribosomal RNA". It matches the Rfam family "Bacterial small subunit ribosomal RNA", at positions 524 to 776 of the family's 1533-position model. The record is from RNAcentral.